Molecule: ribosomal RNA, 253 nt
Filed under: uncultured bacterium
Lineage: Bacteria
Description: partial 16S ribosomal RNA
Rfam family: Bacterial small subunit ribosomal RNA
Source: RNAcentral
UACGGAGGGUGCAAACGUUGUUCGGAAUUACUGGGCGUAAAGCGCGUGUAGGCUGCUCUGCAAGUCGGGUGUGAAAGCCCCGGGCUCAACCUGGGAAGUGCACUCGAAACUGCAGAGCUUGAGUUCUGGAGAGGAAGGCGGAAUUUCAGGUGUAGCGGUGAAAUGCGUAGAUAUCUGAAGGAACAUCAGUGGCGAAAGCGACUUCCUGGACCAAUACUGACGCUCAGGUGCGAAAGCGUGGGGAGCAAACAGG